Molecule: ribosomal RNA, 256 nt
Filed under: Clostridioides difficile
Lineage: Bacteria; Bacillati; Bacillota; Clostridia; Peptostreptococcales; Peptostreptococcaceae
Description: partial 23S ribosomal RNA
Rfam family: Bacterial large subunit ribosomal RNA
Source: RNAcentral
UCCGGUGGCCGCAGAGAAUAGGCCCAAGCGACUGUUUACCAAAAACAUAGGUUUCUGCUAAGUCGCAAGACGAUGUAUAGGAGCUGACGCCUGCCCGGUGCUGGAAGGUUAAGGGGAUCUGUUAGAGCGAUCGAAGCAGUGAACUUAAGCCCCAGUAAACGGCGGCCGUAACUAUAACGGUCCUAAGGUAGCGAAAUUCCUUGUCGGGUAAGUUCCGACCCGCACGAAAGGCGUAACGAUUUGGGCACUGUCUCAA